RNAcentral lists this microRNA precursor (60 nucleotides) under Gekko japonicus. RNAcentral describes it as "Gja-Mir-181-P2b_pre stem-loop". Lineage: Eukaryota; Metazoa; Chordata; Lepidosauria; Squamata; Gekkonidae. The record is from RNAcentral.
AACAUUCAUUGCUGUCGGUGGGUUUUAGUUUCAGACAGCUCUCUGGCCAAUGAAUGCAAA